Folsomia candida is the source of this 1222-nucleotide long non-coding RNA. RefSeq lists it as uncharacterized. The record is from RefSeq and is a predicted model, not a curated record. The transcript has 2 exons. NCBI's taxonomy places the organism in Eukaryota, Metazoa, Arthropoda, Collembola, Entomobryomorpha, Isotomidae.
GUCGACCCCUGCCCACAGAAAUGUGCCCAAAGCAGGUACUUAGAUUUUUCAGCUUACAUUUUUGUAGCUUAUUUCGCAAUGUUGUACUUUUUACCCGACCUUUGAAUGGCAACUAAAUGUGACAAAUACGACGUAUUUUUAUAUCUAUUCAGCAAUUUCCACCACUCAGACGUUACAAAAGCAUCCUGAUUUGAUGGUACACACGUGGUUAUUUUUUAGUAGUGCAUAGUAGUUAACUUUACAGUUGGAAAUAUCGUUUUGACAUUCAACUAAUUAAAUAAUCAUAUAAGUUAGUAAUCAUUAUCUAAAAGAAUGUAAUAAAUUCCCCUUGGAGUGAAUCCAUAUAAAAAUUGCAAAACUGCCAAAACUGCAUAGUUGAAUGAUAUUUAUUCGUUUUGCAGUUUCAUCACAGAUCAACAUUCUCUAAAAUAAUAACAAUAAUAUGAAAAUUUGCAAAAGUUAUACAAUGUGCAUGCCAACGGGCUAAUGAUGAUGUAGGCUGAUGAGACAUAACCCGAUGCACAAUCAGAUUCGGCCCGAAUGCGUCCCGCAUACGAUGUUUUCGGUUUAGAGGCGGCCGAAAUUAUCGCCUCAAUUACGACUACGGAUAGAUUUCUAAUUUCAGAUUCUAUGUAGUAACUCACAGUAGCGGGUGGGCCACCUUCGGUUUCAAAGCUAAAAAAAGAUUUCGUUUAACCGACAAAUUUAUGCUAUCGAGCAGAAUUCGGAUUUUCUCUCGCUAUCCGAAUUCUGCUGCCGACUACGGCCCGAAUGCGGGGCGAGCUCAGCUCAGCAGCGGGGUUUUUAAAAACUAUAUGCCAUGCCUUUCGCUAUUAGCACUUAGCACCGGUCGCUGAUUUCGCUACUCAACGUCCCAGAAAACAGUGAAUAGUUUAAAGAAUAAACCCGUUGCCGUGGUUUUCGUAGAAGAAGAUAAAACUUUGGUUUCGGAUGUGUCAGCAAACUGGUUAAGUGCCAAUAAGUGCCCAGUGUUCUUGGCCAUCAGGUCCAGGAAGUCAGAAGUAAUCAAAAAUAAACCAAUCUUGUUGUAUCCGAUAUGAGCUGGGAAAACACCAAAGCUCUCUUCUUAAAUUUUCAAGUAAGUUUCCAUUCUAGGUGGUAUUAUAAAAUGAUAUAAUUUGUCAGUAUAUUAGGAUGCAAUAUAAAUGUAAGUUUAUAUGUAUUCCGUUGCUACAUUAAAUAAAGUAAAUUGAUUUGUGAA